RNAcentral lists this ribosomal RNA (468 nucleotides) under uncultured bacterium. Its description in RNAcentral is "partial 16S ribosomal RNA". It matches the Rfam family "Bacterial small subunit ribosomal RNA", at positions 28 to 507 of the family's 1533-position model. The record is from RNAcentral.
GACGAACGCUGGCGGCGUGCUUAACACAUGCAAGUCGAACGGAAAGGCCCUGCUUUUGUGGGGUGCUCGAGUGCCGAACGCGUGAGUAACACGUGAGUAACCUGCCCUUGUCUUUGGGAUAACUUCAGGAAACUGGGGCUAAUAUCGGACAGGAGCUCCUGCUGCAUGGUGGGGGUGGGAAAGUUUCGGCGGUUGGGGAUGGACUCGCGGCUUAUCAGCUUGUUGGUGGGGUAGUGGCUUACCAACGCUUUGACGGGUAGCCGGCCUGGGAGGGUGACCGGGCACAAUGGGACUGAGAUACGGCCCAGACUGCUACGGGAGGCAGCAGUGGGAAAUAUUGCCCAAUGGGCGGAAGCCUGAUGCAGCGACGCCGCGUGCGGGAUGACGGUCUGUGGGUUGUAAACCGCUUUCGCCUGUGACGCAGCGUGAGUGACGGUAAUGAGUAAAGAAGCACCGGCUAACUACGUG